GAGGGUGUAGCUCAGUGGUAUAGUGCGCGCCUGGCAUGCACAAGGUCCUGGGUUCAAUCCUCAGUACCUCCA
Molecule: transfer RNA, 72 nt
Filed under: Camelus bactrianus (Bactrian camel)
Lineage: Eukaryota; Metazoa; Chordata; Mammalia; Artiodactyla; Camelidae
Also listed under: 1 other name
Rfam family: tRNA
About the family: Transfer RNA (tRNA) molecules are approximately 80 nucleotides in length. Their secondary structure includes four short double-helical elements and three loops (D, anti-codon, and T loops).
Source: Rfam by way of RNAcentral